RNAcentral lists this ribosomal RNA (487 nucleotides) under uncultured bacterium. RNAcentral describes it as "bacterial SSU rRNA". It matches the Rfam family "Bacterial small subunit ribosomal RNA", at positions 8 to 518 of the family's 1533-position model. The record is from RNAcentral.
AGAGUUUGAUUAUGGCUCAGGAUGAACGCUGACAGAAUGCUUAACACAUGCAAGUCUACUUGAUCCUUCGGGUGAAGGUGGCGGACGGGUGAGUAACGCGUAAAGAACUGCCUUACAGACUGGGACAACAUUUGGAAACGAAUGCUAAUACCGGAUAUUAUGAUUGGGUCGCAUGAUCUGGUUAUGAAAGCUAUAUGCGCUGUGAGAGAGCUUUGCGUCCCAUUAGUUAGUUGGUGAGGUAACGGCUCACCAAGACGAUGAUGGGUAGCCGGCCUGAGAGGGUGAACGGCCACAAGGGGACUGAGACACGGCCCUUACUCCUACGGGAGGCAGCAGUGGGGAAUAUUGGACAAUGGACCAAAAGUCUGAUCCAGCAAAUUCUGUGUGCACGAUGAAGUUUUUCGGAAUGUAAAGUGCUUUCAGUUGGGAAGAAGUCAGUGACGGUACCAACAGAAGAAGCGACGGCUAAAUACGUGCCAGCCGCUGC